Molecule: ribosomal RNA, 457 nt
Filed under: uncultured bacterium
Lineage: Bacteria
Description: bacterial SSU rRNA
Rfam family: Bacterial small subunit ribosomal RNA
Source: RNAcentral
GCACAAGCGGUGGAGCAUGUGGAUUAAUUCGAUGCAACGCGAAGAACCUUACCUGGGUUUGACAUGCACAGGACGCGUCUAGAGAUAGGCGUUCCCUUGUGGCCUGUGUGCAGGUGGUGCAUGGCUGUCGUCAGCUCGUGUCGUGAGAUGUUGGGUUAAGUCCCGCAACGAGCGCAACCCUUGUCUCAUGUUGCCAGCGGGUAAUGCCGGGGACUCGUGAGAGACUGCCGGGGUCAACUCGGAGGAAGGUGGGGAUGACGUCAAGUCAUCAUGCCCCUUAUGUCCAGGGCUUCACACAUGCUACAAUGGCCGGUACAAAGGGCUGCGAUGCCGCAAGGUUAAGCGAAUCCUUUUAAAGCCGGUCUCAGUUCGGAUCGGGGUCUGCAACUCGACCCCGUGAAGUCGGAGUCGCUAGUAAUCGCAGAUCAGCAACGCUGCGGUGAAUACGUUCCCGGGC